AGGUUGGGAUCAGUUGCAAUGCUGUGUGUUUGUCUGUGGUAUUGCACUUGUCCCGGCCUGU
Molecule: microRNA precursor, 61 nt
Filed under: Gekko japonicus
Lineage: Eukaryota; Metazoa; Chordata; Lepidosauria; Squamata; Gekkonidae
Description: Gja-Mir-92-P1a_pre stem-loop
Rfam family: mir-92 microRNA precursor family
About the family: This family represents the microRNA precursor mir-92. Human miR-92 has two predicted hairpin precursor sequences: mir-92-1 on chromosome 13 and mir-92-2 on chromosome X. miR-92 has also been cloned from mouse embryonic stem cells. The mature sequence is excised from the 3' arm of the hairpin.
Source: RNAcentral